This 503-nucleotide ribosomal RNA is filed under the name uncultured bacterium. RNAcentral describes it as "partial 16S ribosomal RNA". It matches the Rfam family "Bacterial small subunit ribosomal RNA", at positions 30 to 523 of the family's 1533-position model. The record is from RNAcentral.
AUUGAACGCUGGCGGCAGGCUUAACACAUGCAAGUCGAGCGGGGUGAUGGUGCUUGCACUAUCACUUAGCGGCGGACGGGUGAGUAAUGCUUAGGAAUCUGCCUAUUAGUGGGGGGCGACAUCUCGAAAGGGAUGCUAAUACCGCAUACGUCCUACGGGAGAAAGCAGGGGAUCACUUGUGACCUUGCGCUAAUAGAUGAGCCUAAGUCGGAUUAGCUAGUUGGUGGGGUAAAGGCCUACCUAGGCGACGAUCUGUAGCGGGUCUGAGAGGAUGAUCCGCCACACUGGGACUGAGACACGGCCCAGACUCCUACGGGAGGCAGCAGUGGGGAAUAUUGGACAAUGGGGGGAACCCUGAUCCAGCCAUGCCGCGUGUGUGAAGAAGGCCUUAUGGUUGUAAAGCACUUUAAGCGAGGAGGAGGCUCUUUUGGUUAAUACCCAAGAUGAGUGGACGUUACUCGCAGAAUAAGCACCGGCUAACUCUGUGCCAGCCGCCGCGGUAA